Molecule: unclassified non-coding RNA, 1340 nt
Filed under: Helianthus carnosus
Lineage: Eukaryota; Viridiplantae; Streptophyta; Magnoliopsida; Asterales; Asteraceae
Description: partial external transcribed spacer
Source: RNAcentral
CUUUUUGUGCAUAAUGUAUAUAUAGGGGGGUGGUAGUACUCUUGGGGUAGACAGGCAUGUGCUGGGAUGGCAUGCCAAGGCAUGUGCUGGGAUGGCAUGCCAAGGACAAGCAUGUGCUGGGAAGGCAUGCCAAGGCGUAGACAAGGCCAAGGCAAGCACAUGCAUCGCGAGGGAGACGAGACGGUUACGAUUACCCCAAGAGUGCCCAAGGGAGAGGAAAGAGGUGUCAAACGCAUGCUAAGCCCCACUUUGGUAGUUUGGCACCCCCAUAGGCAUUCAGGCAAGCGUGCCUAUGGGAAAAGUCGCUUGAGCUUGUCAGCCAUGUUGGGUAUCAGCGGACGAGAUGAUGGCACAAGGAUGCUUGCUUUAAGGUAACGUUCCGGCAGCACAGCCAGCCCGCAAUUGCUAGUUCAAGCGGGUGGAAUCUGCCUAUAGGGGCGUUGCUUGCUUGCUGUGGAGUUGGGACACGCCCAAUAUCUAUCAUCGAUCCAACGAAGUGCUCAACGUGGGUUGCUGAGGGCUAUUUUGGCACUGACGGUUCACUUGUUUGCUUGGCUUUGAUAAACGUUUAGAUGUCAUGAUGCUUGGGAUCCAAUAAAUUUUUGUGGGAAGCUAAGAGCUGGAACCCAAUGUCAUUCACCAGACGGGUUAGCUUCGUCAGUGUGUAUAAUAUGUCAUUGAACCCCAAUCCUCGAUGCCAACCUGAUUAUGACUUUUGGAUCGCAAUUAUCGUGGUUAUCGAAAACUGAGUAGGAGUCAUUGAAUAAGUGAACAAUUUGUAGCCUUUAAUAGCUGUCAGCUUACGCAUCGCCCGGUGUGUUUUGGGAAUCGCUUUAUGCAUUUGGUUGCCUGCCGUGCCUCUUGGCAUACACGGUGGGUUCCACUUGCCGGGUGGUUUUCGGAAACAUCCACCGUAAAGGUGCAUGAGUGGUAUUUGGUUUGUUACGGGUGGUUGGCUCUUUGCUUGUGCAACAACUGCCACCCGACUUACCUCUUCAGAUGUUUGCCUAGGCUUGUAUAGCCUAAGCAGAUUGUGGGUUUUCUGUGUUGCCUACCUACGUUACGGAAUUGUCCCGAUCGAUCAAAGCUGUUUUCGUCUUGUGUCGUUUCGAUGGCAUAAGAUGAACUAUGAAGCUGUCUCUUUGCACCGCAUCGUUAAUGCAUGCGUUGAUGAUGUGGCCCAUUGAGCAUUGCUUGGUACCUUGGAUACGGAACCUUAUGUGGGCAUGGGUCCUUGGGGAUCCUUGUUCUGCCCUCGUUUAGCGUUCGCGCUUCUCUUAGAAUGACUGCCCAACCGGAAUGGGAAGCCAUUGUGGAUGGGUAUCGUCAAAGAGGAAUGC